RNAcentral lists this long non-coding RNA (1257 nucleotides) under Taeniopygia guttata (zebra finch). RNAcentral's name for it is "lncRNA (ENSTGUG00000021538.1)". The record is from RNAcentral. Lineage: Eukaryota; Metazoa; Chordata; Aves; Passeriformes; Estrildidae.
AAAAUGUAAAGCCCAAGCUCAUACUCACAGGUAAUGCCCCUCAUAAGCCACUUUGUGUAUGGGAAGCAGUUUUGCCUCACCAGGCACAUUGCCACUUCCUCCAUAUUUCAAAUGCAGACCUAUGCAGUCUAGACUACAUCCUCCAGCUGCUUGAAACAAUACUGAUACACGAUCAUCUGCUAAGGCCUUGACAUCUCCGUCUCAAAAGAGGAUAAAGAACUUAUAUUUAUAUCCAAAGUGAUUUAUAGAUCAUCAUAAAAACAAACCCAAACCCAAACCCAUAAAAACAAUCCUUAUUUUCAGAUAUAUUUAAGUUAAAACUUUACUAAAGCACAGAAUAUUUUUUGUGGCAAAUAUAAAACUGAAAAUCAAAAUAAGAGGUGUACAGAUACAAGUUCAAGUGCUCACCUGAGUGCUCUGCUUUGACUGUAAGCAUUACAACUGAGGACUUUCAAACCAACAUAUUUCAAACAUACUUCAUUAAUUAAUACCAAUAUAAUUCUGUAUGUGGAAGGAAAGGUACAAGUGAGGGAGGGAUGGAGUGGAGUAAAGAGAAACACAGAAGGGCAAGAACACAUAUAGCAAUCUCUCCUUGACUGAAAUGGAUUGCUUUCAACUCUGCCACUCCUUCACAUGCAUUAAAGAAACAUGUAAGCAUCACUCCAGUCCAGCAGAAACAGUCAUGUAUACUUCCUUUCCUUCUAGCUAAUUUCCCCUUUUUUUCCUACAAGACCUCACCACUCAGGCAAGAUGUAUGCCAGUGCAGAGGUGAAUUUCUCUUUUCCUGACUACGUAUCACUAUGAUUAAAAUGCUCCAGCACAUCACAGUAACCACAUUCAGCUGUAACCUCUAAUGGUGUUACUCAAUAUUUGUCCUUAAUGUUCACAUCUCCAUAAUUCUUCAGAAUGUCAACAAUGUCUUUGCAUCUCUGUUUUGCAGCUUCUUGCAUUGAUGACCAAUACAUUUUUCCUUGUAAUUUAUGGUAUUGGGAUAAACACCCUUUUCCAGGAUCAUUUGCACCUUUUCCACAAAGCCAGUUUUUGCUGACAAAUGCCAAAGAACAAUCUAUUAAAGAAGAUAAAGGACUUUGGACUCUCUGCACUAUUUCUGCAGUCGUGAAGUUUAAUGGACAUUCACAUGAGUUUGGUACACAAGGUCAGGUGAUGGUGAAGCCAUGCCAGCUAUUAUUUUCAAGAAAGAUCUUCCUGCAAAUAGAGAAGGAACAUUGGAACUGCUAUUUAGAAGAAAUCUUCUGA